AGUGGGGAAUUUUCCGCAAUGGGCGAAAGCCUGACGGAGCAAUACCGCGUGAGGGAGGAAGGCUCUUGGGUUGUAAACCUCUUUUCUCAGGGAAGAAGGAUGACGGUACCUGAGGAAUAAGCAUCGGCUAACUCCGUGCCAGCAGCCGCGGUAAUACGGAGGAUGCAAGCGUUAUCCGGAAUUAUUGGGCGUAAAGCGUCCGCAGGUGGCAAUUCAAGUCUGCUGUCAAAGGUCGGGGCUUAACCCCGGAAAGGCAGUGGAAACUGAAUAGCUAGAGUGCGGUAGGGGCAGAGGGAAUUCCUGGUGUAGCGGUGAAAUGCGUAGAGAUCAGGAAGAACACCGGUGGCGAAAGCGCUCUGCUGGGCCGCAACUGACACUCAGGGACGAAAGCUAGGGGAGCGAA
This 403-nucleotide ribosomal RNA is filed under the name uncultured cyanobacterium. RNAcentral's name for it is "bacterial SSU rRNA". It matches the Rfam family "Bacterial small subunit ribosomal RNA", at positions 353 to 772 of the family's 1533-position model. The record is from RNAcentral. Lineage: Bacteria; Bacillati; Cyanobacteriota.